Molecule: ribosomal RNA, 443 nt
Filed under: uncultured bacterium
Lineage: Bacteria
Description: partial 16S ribosomal RNA
Rfam family: Bacterial small subunit ribosomal RNA
Source: RNAcentral
CCUACGGGUGGCAGCAGUGGGGAAUAUUGGGCAAUGGGCGCAAGCCUGACCCAGCAACGCCGCGUGAAGGAAGAAGGCUUUCUGGUUGUAAACUUCUUUUCUCAGGGACGAAGCAAGUGCCGGUACCUGAGUUAUAAGACACGGCUAACUACGUGCCAGCCGCCGCGGUAAUACGGAGGUGGCAAGCGUUAUCCGGAUUUACUGGGUGUAAAGGGCGUGUAGGCGGGGACGCAAGUCAGAUGUGAAAACCACGGGGCCAACCUGUGGCCUGCAUUUGAAACUGUGUUUCUUGAGUACUGGAGAGGAAGACGGAAUUCGUGGUGUAGCGGUGAAAUGCGUAGAUAUUAGGAGGAACACCAGUGGCGAAGGCGGUCUGCUGGAGAGCAACUGACGCUGAGGCGCGAAAGCGUGGGGAGCGAACAGGAUUAGAUACCCGGGUAGUC